AUGUUUUCUUCUUUGCACACAUGGAUUCACAUGCAAGAAUGAUGACUUAUGCAUCUCAGUGCUUCCUUAAAUGCACGCUCUGUCCCACCCAAAGACACACAAAGUAAUGAUCAAAAAAAGAAGCUUCUAUUCCUUUGCUCUGGAUAGCCAAGAACAGGAGCCAGUCCUGUGCUUGUUUAUUUCCAGCAGCAGUUUUCUCUCUGGAGAGCUUUGUUUCAAAAUGCCCUUGAGGCUUAAAGCCAGUUCAUACAUUUCCCAGUUGUGGAGCUUCUAGAAACAGAAGCAACCUGCACUUCUGAUUCCCUUCUUUCAAUGCAACAUUUGUAACCCUUACAGGUCUCUGCCAGAUCGUAUCCCAAAGACCCUAUGCAUCCCCAGUGGGGGUCAGCAGUAUGAAUGGCAGGGCUGCUCCCCCGCCUGAGGCAAGGAGAGCUCCUUGCCUCCAGCAGCAAAAUCCACAAGUGUAGCAGAUCUGGCUGCCAAGGAAUUGAUAACCCAUUGUAGAUCUUCAUUCACCCCUUUUUCCCUGGUGGGGGAAGGGUGCCAUUUUGUGGUUUGCCUCAGUACCAAAAUGUCUUGGGCCAGCCCUGGUAAGUGGGAUGUGCCUCUACAGGCCCUGGAACUAAAGAAUACGUGAAUUGGCCACUGACAAAAAAAAGAGUGGCGCCUAGUGGAAUUCAUUCCAGCAGCAGGGCCAACCUUGAAGUUUCAGGGGUCUCUUGGCAACACUUGGUCCUCUUUCUCUGUAGUCAUUCUGCCAACUGUGGACGUCAAAUCAAACACAGCAGUUCAGAUGGUUGUCUCUUCCCACCCUGGUCCUUUUCAUUUAGCUGGCGCGGAACUCGUUGAGUUGCUUUGAACCUGAGCUUGGAGCCGAGCCCCCCAGAACAAAACCUAGUAACCAGUUCAAAAUAAGUGCUUCACCAAUAGUCCAAAGGAUCCUUUUGAGGCGGGUGAAUAGGGCCUUUCUCUUCUCUAACGUUAGGCAGGCAGGCCAAACUGAGGAGGAGGAGCAAAAAUAAGAGUUUGGGGAUUAUAGUUCUCCUGUAUCUUGCAUAUGCUUUGACCUGGUGUAUGAGGGCAAACAGUAAGGCUGUGUACACACCAUAUUUAUUUCUUUUGACUAAUAAUAGGGAAAGAGGCCAGGAGGGGGAGAGCCACACUAUACAUUUAAAACACGUCCCUUCUCUUAAAAAAAAAAUCCUGGGAGCUGUAGUUUGUUAAGGGUGCUGGGAAUUGAAGUUUCGUGAGGUGAAUACAGGAUUGUGAGAAAGCAUUCAGAGAAGUGGUUCCCUUUUUCUGUGUAAGCAUUCCAAUCCCAUAAGCCCUCACAUAACAGUGUUAUGCGUCCAACAAUGUAUAGUUUUUAAAGCUUCUGUCUUGUCUCCAGUUGUGCUAGGUAAAGCUCCCCCUCCCCAUUUUAAUUGUUUUUCUGUAUGUUUCUGAGAAUAGGUAGGGUGACUGGAACUAUAAUAGCAUUACAGAAGCCAACAAAUAAAAGAUGCCUGAAGUAAGCUAAAAAUAACAUAUAUAUAUUUUUCUGGGAUGGAAGUCAAUGUAAAAAGUAUGUUUGGAGAGUGAACUUCAUAAAGAUCUGGUAUGCAUGCAUGUGUUUAGGGAAGAAAGCAACCAUUUUCCUGCAUAAAAUAUCCCUGUAGUCAUGUUAUAAGAGUCACACUGCAAUUAUAUAGUUUUUUGGUGUGUGUGUGUGUGUGUGUGAGAGAGAGAGAGAGAGAGAGAGAAAAAACUGGUGCCAAACAAUUGCACAGGACAGAAUCACAGAGUUUAGAAAUGCUGAUUAACCUGAGCCAGAAUUGAAUCAAGUUUUAAAAAUAGUUUGACUCCCUGCUUUUUACCACUGUAACUCUCCCCCUUAAGUCAAGCCUCCCAGAUCACUUUGAAACCCCACCCUUGAGGAACUUGGCCCAUGGAGAUAGGUUAGAAACUGACGGAUGACAUGGUGAUACCAAAUUAAUGGGGAUAGUUAAAUUUCCAAGGAGCCAGAAGACAUUUGGAAGAGCUGAUUUGGCCCGUGGUCUUGAGGUUUCUCACCCCUGCCUUUAAGCCAACAUACUUUCAAUUUUUCCCUCAUUAUUUCCUGUGUGAGUUGUGGUGAUGCUUUUAAAUACUUCUUUCUAAACCACAUUGUGUUUCCUGUUUCCUAUCUAUUCUUUACCACAAGUGGUUUAUAGAAAUACGGUGGUUGAAACAGCUUCAAGUGACUGUAGUUGUUUAUGCUUAACUUGGGAAGAUUUUGCUUUGUUGUGAUUGUAAUCCCAUGUAAGAAUUAAGACUGACAGUAUUUUAAGGCUCUUCAGGAUGUCUCCUCACAUCUAAUUUCAUAAUUAAGGGUUAUUACGCUAGGACUGGAAGCAAAACCUGGGGGAAGAAAUCAUUUGACUUUCACCAAACCUGAUACAAAAAUAUGAAAUUGGAAUGUUCAAGAAGCUUUGCUUCAGAUACCACAUUACAGUGAGCGAUAUCAAGAGUUAGUCAUAGUCAGAAUAGGUCUCCUCUGAGCAUGACUUAGUUGGAUAUCACCCAAUGUGUUUUUAAUCUUUUAUCUCAGAAAACAGAUGCACAUACUUCCCAAGUUUUAUUUCUCAACACCCAAGGAUAUUUUGCUUUAUAGAGGCUAUAAAUGUAAUGGCAAACCAUAGUUUGCUUUAUGAGCAUGAGUAGCCUUGAUCUCAUGCAUCUUUUCCUCACCUUUUCCUGCACGUGAACGGAAUAGGUUAGAAGUUCCCAUUCCUGGCUUUGUGGCAAACUGUGGUUUCUCCUUUUGUCUGAAAAAGAAGUGAUGGUUUGCCACAAACCAGCUUCUAGACUUAUUCUUACAUGCACAGGAGAAGGAGAGGAAAGAAUGUAUGAACUCGAGACUGCUCACACACGUUCCCCACCCUGCAUUCUGAAGUGAUAACAUUGCAGGUCAUCUAACUUGUGAUGUCGAUGAGUAAGACGCAGCUCACCUUUUGGUAUGAGCAAUUGUCCAUAGUAAGUACAUAUGGAGGUAAUAAGAAUUCAGAACCUUAUUACUAUGAUUGCUGUUGAGCAAAGUACAUUAGCUAAUAUAUGAACCGUCGUUUGGCAGGAUGCACACACUGCAGAGCGCUUCAUAGGCGCUAACUAAAACACCCAUUUCAAUUAGGGAAAUAGGUUGUAGCUGGUGGUGGCACUAAAUACCUUCUGCUGGAAAAGAGGAGAAACUGGCGCACAAAUUUAUCCAUUCAGAUAUUUGAUACGUUGUUAUUUUAAAUGGGAGGCAUCGGAGCAGGAUUGUGUGCCUCCCAAGUGGAGUUGUUUUGUUAGGGUCAAAUUCUGUUGUCGGUUUCUCUCCCAGAAACCUUGCUGAUGUCAACAGAACGGCAGAAGUAUUAAAAAUAAAGUGGAGACUGUGUCAACAUUCAUUUCGCAAUACAUUGUUGAACAAUGCCAUCGCUAGAGGAAAUCUCCCGUUUCUUUGAACCAUGUCGCUGAGCAAUAUUUUUUGUAGGAAUCAUGAUAAUUCAGAACACACUGUUAACAGUGACAAGUCCUAUGUCUCUACUCUCCUUCUGCCUUAGCCUAGACACCUACUCAUGGCCUAUUGGCUCUUGCUAGAAAGCAACAUUCUUAGGGUUUCUUUCUUUCUUUCUUUCUUUCUUUCUUUCUUUCUUUCUUUCUUUCAACAGGUUUUGAGACCUCACAGAAAAAACAUAUAGGUAGUAGGCCUGAAAGUCAAAAAAAUAAAGUUAUAAAAUCACUUUCACAUUUAUCAUUUUCAAAUCUCAUUAUUUUUAGGAGCCCAUCAACAAAACUGAAAAUAGUAACAACAACAACAACAACAACAAUUUAUUAUUUGUGCCUUGCCCAUCUGGCUGGGUUUCCCCAGCCACUCUGGGUGGCUUCCAACCAAGAUUAAGAAUACAUUAAAAUGUCACACAUUAAAAACUUCCCUGAACAAGAGAACAAGGGAACAAGAGAAGCAUGUUGUCCCCAAGAUAUGAUUCUUGAUUUUGAUGGUAGGGAUGUCUCAGGUUCAAAUCCGCAAAUAAUAAUCCUGUGAAAGAGGGCAAAGAGAGCCAUACCCUUGAGGGCUGGUGUGAGGUUGCAUGGGCAGACAUGGAUCCUAAUCCUUACUCACCAUGAGGCACGCUGGUGAUCUUGCACCAGUCAUGAUCUCUCUACCUGACCUACCUCACAGGGUUAUUGUAUAACGAUAAAGCAUAGGACCCAUUCUAGAGAGUGACGAGGCUGGCCAUCUAUCCCAGCUGCAGUGCUUCUCAUGUAUGGAGUACCUAGGAAGUGGGUAGCAUGAGAAGAUCCCUCAUCCGCAUACAAAAAGUCAGUUUGCAACUCCAGGUUAGGCUGGAAAAGACCCCUGUUUGGAAACCUCGAAAGCCUCUCCAGAUCAGUGUAGGUGGUCCUGAACUUUAGGGAGCAAUAAUGUAGCUUGGUGCAAGACAGCUUCCUAUGUUCCAGUCUCUUGUCUUAAAGAUGCCUGCUCUGGGUUCCUUUAAGGAGCCUCCAAAAUUCUAGAGCAAGGAUGUUUUUUUUAAAAAAGAUGUCUUCUCAUAUGGCUGCUUUUAACCCCUUAGUAGAAGAUACAAUCUUGAUUAAAGUGUACCAGGUUUCAGUAGACGGGGAACCAUGUAGAACAGGGAGGGAGAACCUCAAGGUAGUGUAGGACUCCCAUCUGCUCCAGCCAGCAUAGCCCAUGGUCAGGCACGAUGGGAGUUUGAAGCGCAACUUCUGGAGAUCACCAGUUUCCUCAUCCCUGAUGCAGAGGAAGGGAGGGAGGUUAUUUAUGAAGUGGCACCAAAAUAUUUCCUUAACAGGAAGGUCCUAGUGUUAACCAGCCCAGAGUUCUAUAAAAUGCAUUGCAUUUGCCUGAGCUUUCAAACCAAGGUCAAAUGGCACACACAUCUUGCUUCUGUUUAAGCAUUUGGGAGGGUUUUGCCAACAGGCAGGGUAGGUGUGAAAUUCACUUCACUUCAGGUGAUAUACUUGCCUGGUUCAUCAUGGCACCUAGCUGGGUUUUUUCUCCCUCAGCCCUCCAUGCUCACGAGAGGCAUUUUCUGUAUACCUCCGGUGAAUGGAAGGCGCUGUGAGUGCGUUCUUGGAUAUGUAAUUAAGCUUUAUUGAACAAAGAUAAUGUCAAAUUCCAAUCGGAAUUUCUGCUUGCAGUUCAGAGUUAAAGGUCUGAGGCAGCUCUGCAGAUCAUUAUGCUUAUCUCCCAUGGCUAAUGCAGUUCUGCUCAGCCUCACCAGCAAUUCAUCUCUAAUCAGUCAGUCAACAUUCCCAACACGCGUACAGCAUAAAGAACAACAAUAACAAUACAUUUUUAUGGCUGCUCGGGUGCUGAGUGCUGCUCAAUCACUGUCCCCCUCUUAUGCAGAAGGGAUGGAAAGUGCUAGUAAAGUGAGCAGAGGUAUAUUGUUGCAUAUAAUUUCAAGCGACAAAAGCUAGCCCAGCUGUAGCCAUGGUUCAAAUUGCUGGAGUAUUGAAAGCUUAGCCUGCUGCUGAUGCCCUGUUUCCUUCUUGCUGCUUUCCCAUUUGAUUAAAACCUAACCUGCAAGAAAAGGACUGUACUUGGGAGAAAACCACAAGGUAUAUUCUCCAGUGCCCAGAAUAAAAUGAAGCUUAAUAAUAAGGAGCACAUGUUGCACCCACACAAUCUUCUCCAAAGUGAGUGCCUGAGCCAGCCAUUUGUUGAGUGCUCAAGGUCCUGUUGUGCAAAUUCUCCUCCCCAAGCUGAUAUUAAGGCUGGUCCUGUACAUGUUUACUUGGACUGGGGGGAGAGGAAUCUUUCUAAACUCAAUGAGGAAUAUUCCUAGGUACGGUUGCAGUCCCUUGCAUGCUUACCUGGGAUGUAGGUAUGUAUGUAUGUAUUAUUGCAUUUGUAUCCCAUCUCCAAGGAGCUCAAGGAGAGUCUCGCGCUCUACCGACUAAUGUUUUGGCUAGAUCCAUUCUCAACAAACCUGAAUUCUCAAAUUCCCUUUAAAUAAUAAUUACUAUUAUUCUGGAAGAAGUUAUCAGCAAUGAGGUUGAGUAAGAGCUAAAUGAAAGUGGUUUGGGGAAUACAGUGGUACCCCGGUUUGCGAACUUAAUCCGUUCCGGAAGUCCGUUCUUAAACCAAAGCGUUCUUAAACCAAGGUGCGCUUUCCCAUAGCAGCGGGGGACUCAAUUUACAAAUGGAACACACUCAACAGGAAGCAGAACAUGUUCUGCUUCCAAGGCAAAGUUCACAAACCAGAACACCUACUUCCGGGUUUGCAGCGUUCUUAAGCCAAGUUAUUCAUAAACUAAGCUGUUCUUAAACCAAGGUACCACUGUACUCUGCCACUGGCAAAACAGUCUUACCACAUAUACCACACAGAUAAUG
This is a non-coding RNA of Podarcis lilfordi (Lilford's wall lizard), 6364 nucleotides long. NCBI's taxonomy places the organism in Eukaryota, Metazoa, Chordata, Lepidosauria, Squamata, Lacertidae. The record is from the annotation of a GenBank genome assembly.